CCCUGACGUCUGAAAUGUCUAAACCUCGUGCCAAAUUAUUUUCUGCAUAUCCAAAAUGCGUGCAUGCUGAUAGGUAUUUCUUAUCUCCUGACUUUGCAGUGUGGGUUUCAGAUUAGCUUUUUAAAGGCAUAAAGACUAUCACUAUAUGUUUCCAUGUGUUCUCUAACAUAUUUCUACUCAAUUCUGAGUUUAAUUUCUGAUACCACGCACACAGCCUUUGCUCCUUGGAAGCAAAUAUCCAUUAAGUAUGAAGGAAGAAGGAAUUUGAAAGGAAAAAUAAUAUUUGCAAUUCCUGAACAAGAGAUGAAACAAUUGAUAAACCUGUCCUUGAGAAUACCUGCUUUACUUUGUGUAUAAUCAAAUUCCAAAGCCAGAAGUUGGCAACACCAGACUUCUCUACCCAGUAGCAAAUGUGUAUCCAGAGCUGACCAAUUAAGUUCAUAGGCAUGCUCAAUGAAGGAAGUCCUGAUUCAGUGGUAACCCUACCCUUAUUUUGCUAGUCUUUAGUGCUUUAAGACUCCUUGUACUACAUCCCAGUGCCUGACUUUGAUCCUCACUGCUUUAUAAUGAGGUAUGUUUUUUCGGAAUUGGCAGAUUUGGCCAGCAUGAUCCUGCCUGUAUGAUACAAUAGCAGACGUGACUGAGCAGCUCUGUCAUCCCAGUGUAGCUGCACCUGGUCUGACUGAUGUACUGAUGACUGUAGCUGCACCUGUGAUGAUCUUGAUUGCUCCCAAAAGGAUAUGACUGUCUCUUCAUAUGUAAGGCUUGCCUUCAUAGCCUAGCAUAGGGAGUACUCCCCCCA
Molecule: long non-coding RNA, 802 nt
Organism: Neopsephotus bourkii (Bourke's parrot)
Lineage: Eukaryota; Metazoa; Chordata; Aves; Psittaciformes; Psittacidae
Exons: 3
Source: RefSeq, a predicted model, not a curated record